UUUUGGGUUUGGGUAAAUUAAUCGGGCCUACUAUUGUAAUAAACUGGACAUUUAUUUGGUUUAUUUUUUUUGUUUUAAUUUGGUGUUUAUUUAUCUAUGAUUUUGGGCUCGAGCUAAAAUUGGGUAUUACAUAUACGAAUACAAAAAUAUUUUUUUUAUAGUGGGACUGCUUGACAUAUUGGUGGCAUCGGUGUUAUUUUUUUUAAGAAAAAGGGCUUGACAGGAAAAAAAGAGCAGGAAUAGAAAAAAAAUUAUAGUGGUGUCACCUAACACAUUGGCAGCACCAAUGGCUUUUUUUUUUAAAAAGGCCUAACAGAAAAAAAAAAGCUGAUGUGAG
Molecule: long non-coding RNA, 337 nt
Filed under: Gossypium barbadense (sea-island cotton)
Lineage: Eukaryota; Viridiplantae; Streptophyta; Magnoliopsida; Malvales; Malvaceae
Description: long non-coding RNA (GBAR_LNC021692)
Source: RNAcentral